UCUCCUGAUACACAUUAUUUGCCAAAAUCAGUAUUUCUCAGAAGUCUAUUUUUAUCUUGUGUUAUCAUCCUGUUUUCAUUAAUGUUGCAAUAUAUUUAAUUUUGCAGCCAAACUGGAAAUGUGUUAACACUGGUUUUCCCUGUGAUGUAUCUCAAUGAGAGUGUGGAGAUUGAUGCCAAGUCUGCAUCCAAAUUGGAGUCGGUGGUGUACCAGGCCAAUGUGGUCAUCAACAUCCCCUUCAUAAUAAUGGCCUUUGGGAUUCUUCUGGGGGUUAUCUUCAUUGUAUUGUUAUGCAAGAACCGUGAGCCAGAGGGAACUAAAGAAGAACAAGGACCUCUCUUGCAAGCAUCGUCAUAACCAUGCCUAAAGGAAAAUAUAUUUUUUGAUCGUGGAAGCUUUGAAAUGCUCGCUGCUUGCAGCUCUAUGGGGGAGGGCUGGCCUUUCGAGGCUAGUCUGAUAAGUUCCUUUCUCUCUACACUGUAACCCUAAUGUUUACCAAUUUCACUGCACUACCCAUAUAUAAGUGUACCAUAGUAAAAGCACAGCAUAUGAAAACAUUGUACAGAAUGAGGUAUGGUAAAUACAUAGAACUGUGGGAGUGGCAUUGUAAAACUAAAUUACUAAAAAUACAGUGGUACAUUUUUAUAUGGGUAUUGCUUCUAGAAUAAUAUUGACUACCUGUACGUACUGCAUGGUAAUGGUUGCUAUUUGAACUGCAGGUUGCUGGUUACAAGCUCUAAUUGUUCAAAGUGGAUUUUUGUGCAGCACCAAACUCACUUAAUCAAAUACACUAUUUUAUUUAAUUUUUAAUAAAUCCAGACACUACUGUGUUAUGAUGGUACUACAAAUAAAGGUUUCUCCUCAAUUACUGGCAUUAUUAUAAAUUAUGCAGGUUUUACAGGUUUCCUCUAACUUCAUCUGUAAUACUGUUAGGCAUCCUCUGAACAUCUGGUUCUGGUCUUUGUUCCAACCAUGUGCUUAAUAAUUUUUGCACAGCUUAGAACUUUUCAAACCACGCCUAUUUACUUUGGCACUUGGGGAGUAGUCAUGUCAUUAUUUAACUCCUAGGUGUGUGAGUGUUGAGCCACAUUUAAACUCCAUGUUGUGUGUUAAUGCUUUCAUAUAGUGGUUCAGCUGUACAUAUUAUCCCCAUUACAGUCUAACUUCCAUGUUGUUAUUUUCUGCUCGCUUUAAAAUCAAACACUUCUAAAAAGGGACUGCUUGUCUUUGAUUAAUGAUUGACCAGCUUCAGAAUUGAUGUAUUGGAUGUCUAAUAACAAAGUUAUAGCUAGUAACAUUCCACAGCUCUUAGUGUGCCUGCUUUAUAGUGUGUCAAACAGGUGAACCUUGUAGGUAAUACUGGAGCUGAAGAGCUAAGUUUAAGAUGUAGUGAUCUUGUAUGCAGGUACAUUAUAUAAAGACCCUAGAAUGGAGGCAUUACUUUUGGAAUAGAUAUUUUGUUUGAAUGUUAUAUUAUAUUUGAAAAGUAUCUUAUCAGUAUACUCUCUUUUGAAGUGUUUCUCUUAUUUUGUCAUCAGUACUUUUAGUUGCAAUAUAAUUCUCUCUCAUUAUCAGUUAUGAUUUUAACUACAUACUAUAAAAUGUCUUGAGUGGUCAUAGUCCGAGAGUAAAUUUGAUUAAUGUUAAUACAGGGGUAAAAUAAAACACUACUAACUAAACAAUGCAAUGAAAAUAUAUGUUUUAUUAUUGUAUGCACAGACAUUUAAUAUGCACAUCUAACUGAAAUAAUCAAUGCAGUGUGGUAUCAAAAUAGUUAAAAAUGUAACAAAAGAUAACCAGUGUGAUUUAUUUUUUGGCCAGAGUUGGUUCUUUGGCAUUUGAUUUUACAUGUUGGUCUUUUGUUUUGUAGUGAAUUAGUCAAAUAAACAUUAUGGUAUUCUAAGAUUCUGUAGAUAGUCGGCAAAUAAUUCUAUAAAACUGUUUGCUCUACUACUGGGGAAUUACAGAAUGUUAUGUUUCAUUAAAACAAUGUGAUUGCACUAUACAGAUUAUUGUAAGGAAGAGAUAAACAUACUGUGUUUUAGUCUACUCAAAAAUGUUUAAUUCAGUAAAUUUUGUAAUGUUGCUACAUCAUAUUAAAACAAUUUAAGCACAGUGUUUUACAAUUAAACAACAGUUAUAUUCACAAUUUAAUGUAACAAACAUAACAAUAAACCAUUCUAAAAGA
This is a long non-coding RNA of Polyodon spathula (Mississippi paddlefish), 2188 nucleotides long. RefSeq lists it as uncharacterized. The transcript has 3 exons. Lineage: Eukaryota; Metazoa; Chordata; Actinopteri; Acipenseriformes; Polyodontidae. The record is from RefSeq and is a predicted model, not a curated record.